Molecule: ribosomal RNA, 459 nt
Filed under: uncultured bacterium
Lineage: Bacteria
Description: bacterial SSU rRNA
Rfam family: Bacterial small subunit ribosomal RNA
Source: RNAcentral
GAUGAACGCUAGCUACAGGCUUAACACAUGCAAGUCGAGGGGCAGCGCAGUGUAGCAAUACAUGGGCGGCGACCGGCGCACGGGUGCGUAACGCGUAUCCAACCUUCCCGUUACUCAGGGAUAGCCUUCCGAAAGGGAGAUUAAUACCUGAUGGUGUUUGAAUUCCGCAUGUUAUUCAAACUAAAGAUUCAUCGGUAACGGAUGGGGAUGCGUGACAUUAGGUAGAUGGCGGGUAACGGCCACCAUGCCCACGAUGUCUAGGGGUUCUGAGAGGAAGGUCCCCCACACUGGAACUGAGACACGGUCCAGACUCCUACGGGAGGCAGCAGUGAGGAAUAUUGGUCAAUGGUCGGAAGACUGAACCAGCCAAGUAAGCGUGAAGGAUGAAGGUUCUAUGGAUUGUAAACUUCUUUAUAUAGGAAUAAACUACCACGUGUGGAGCUUNUAUGUACUAUAUAG